Molecule: long non-coding RNA, 737 nt
Organism: Lemur catta (Ring-tailed lemur)
Lineage: Eukaryota; Metazoa; Chordata; Mammalia; Primates; Lemuridae
Exons: 3
Source: RefSeq, a predicted model, not a curated record
UCUUUCUCCCCCUCUGGGUGGAAUCGCUGGGUUUCUUCCCUAUUCUUCCGGACAGCGGCAGCCCCUGGAGACAGUCCUUGGCUCGCUGUGUCCCCACGUCCUGUUGGUAAACAGGAAGACAGGCUUUGCUUCAGGAAGUAGGCGGAUUCCAGUGGGACGUGGCUCUGUGUACCUGCCGGUGGCCAGGAGAAAAUGUCAGAUCCGCCCCGAGGGUCUCCCAGGUGUUUGCCCACGAGGGUGGAGACGCCCUCUGGGACCUGGGCUCCUUCGAGGAGAGCAGACUUCACCAUUACCAGUGGGGACAUUUUGGAAAAAGAGAAAGUGUGGUAGGAAAAAAACGACCAUCAUAUGCCUCGUGGAGAGGUCGCACGGGCUGGGGUCCCAGUCUUCUGCACGGCUCGAACCCGGGCCCCAGCAGCAGCACGGCAGUGAGCUCCCGAGAGCCUGGCGGGACUUCUGGUCACAGCGACAUCCCCCGUGCGUGGCAGCCUGAGCCUGAUCUGCUGCGACACAAGCUACAGGACAGUUUCCCCACAUUUUCACGGAGGGCCUCUGUAGUUGUAUUGGUUUGUCUUUCCCGGCUUGGUUGUUUUUCUCUUAUAACUAAAUGUCUUCCUCCUUGUUUUGUGUCUAGCCUGUCUCUUCAGGUCUUUACCAGUGACCAGAUGGUGCACGUGCGCGUACAGAAAGAAGAAGGGUUGGAACUCUCUGGAGCCCCCCCUCCUGGAAGCCUUCGG